This 377-nucleotide ribosomal RNA is filed under the name uncultured eukaryote. Its description in RNAcentral is "partial 18S ribosomal RNA". It matches the Rfam family "Eukaryotic small subunit ribosomal RNA", at positions 592 to 976 of the family's 1831-position model. The record is from RNAcentral.
CAAUAGCGUAUAUUAAAGUUGUUGCAGUUAAAAAGCUCGUAGUUGGAUUUCGGAGCCGACCGGGCGGUCUGUCGAGAGACACGCACUGCACGGUGGCUCUUCCUCUCGGAGGCCCUGGCUGCCCUUAACUGGAGCGGGCAGGGGAUUCGGGACGUUUACUUUGAAAAAAUUAGAGUGUUCAAAGCAGGCCGGUGCUUGGAUACAUUAGCAUGGAAUAAUGGAAUAGGGCUUGGGUCCUAUUUUGUUGGUUUUCGGGACCGAGGUCAUGGUUAAGAGGGACAGUUGGGGGCAUUCGUAUUCAAUUGUCAGAGGUGAAAUUCUUGGAUUUAUGGAAGACGAACAACUGCGAAAGCAUUUGCCAAGGAUGUUUUCAUUAA